GGGAUCGGGGAUUGCAAUUAUUCCCCAUGAACGAGGAAUUCCCAGUAAGUGCGGGUCAUAAGCUUGCGUUGAUUAAGUCCCUG
RNAcentral lists this ribosomal RNA (83 nucleotides) under bacterium 1xD8-48. RNAcentral's name for it is "partial 16S ribosomal RNA". It matches the Rfam family "Eukaryotic small subunit ribosomal RNA", at positions 1573 to 1655 of the family's 1831-position model. The record is from RNAcentral.